UCCCUAGUGGCUCAGAGGGUACAGCGUCUGCCUGCAAUGCGGGAGACCUAGGUUUGAUCCCUGGGUUGGGAA
This 72-nucleotide transfer RNA is filed under the name Bos taurus (domestic cattle). It matches the Rfam family "tRNA". From Rfam's summary of the family: Transfer RNA (tRNA) molecules are approximately 80 nucleotides in length. Their secondary structure includes four short double-helical elements and three loops (D, anti-codon, and T loops). The record is from Rfam by way of RNAcentral. RNAcentral also lists the same sequence under 4 other names. Lineage: Eukaryota; Metazoa; Chordata; Mammalia; Artiodactyla; Bovidae.